This 214-nucleotide unclassified non-coding RNA is filed under the name uncultured Russula. RNAcentral describes it as "sequence contains ITS1". Lineage: Eukaryota; Fungi; Basidiomycota; Agaricomycetes; Russulales; Russulaceae. The record is from RNAcentral.
UCGUACAACAGAGAUGCCCCAGGGCUGUUGCUGACCUCAAUGGCUCGUGCACGCCCAAAGGUGCUCUCUCAUGUCCAUCUCACCCCUUUGUGCAUCACCGCGUGGGCCCCCCUAUCGGUAUCGUUCCGAGGGGGCGUUCACGUUUUUAAACAGACACCAUUUUUUAAAUGCAUGUGUAGAAUGUGUUACUAUUUGCGAUCACACGCAAUCAAUA